CAUGGUGCGGCAUGUCGAAGACGCUGCGGAAGAAGCGGCACUGGCUGAGCAAGGUGCAGGAGUGCGCCGUGUCCUGGGGGCCGCCGCAGCCCGGCGGGGCGCCCGACCCCGACCUGCUGCGGGGCGGCGCCGAGCUCGGCGAGUUCCCCUACCUGGGGGGCCGCCUGCUGCUGGGGGAGCUCGGCGGGCCCGGCCCGGUGCUGCUCUCCGGCAAGCCCCCUAGCCCCGGGGACGUGCUGCUGGAGGUGAACGGCACCCCCGUGAGCGGCCUCACCCACCGCGACACCCUGGCCGUCAUCCGCCACUUCAGGGAGCCCGUGCGCCUCAAGACCGCGCGCCCAGGAAAAGUGAUCAACAAAGACUUGCGUCACUACCUGAGCCUGCAGUUCCAGAAAGGCUCAAUAGACCAUAAACUCCAACAGGUGAUCAGAGACAAUCUUUACCUGAGAACCAUCCCAUGCACUACAAGGGCUCCCAGGGAUGGGGAGGUCCCAGGGGUGGACUAUAAUUUCAUUCCUGUUGAACAGUUUAAAGCAUUGGAAGAAAGUGGAGCCUUGCUAGAAAGUGGAACAUAUGAUGGUAAUUUCUAUGGUACACCAAAGCCUCCAGCAGAGCCCAGUCCCUUUCAGCCAGACCCAGUGGAUCAAGUUCUUUUUGACAAUGAUUUUGAUGCAGAAUCCCAGAGAAAAAGAACCACGUCGGUCAGCAAGAUGCAAAGAAUGGAUAGCUCUCUCCCUGAGGAGGAAGAGGAGGAAGAAAAGGAAGCAGUUAAUGGCAGUGGAGGUGCAGAAAACCGAGAGAGACAUUCAGAUUCUUCUGACUGGAUGAAGCCUGUUCCUAGUUACAACCAGACAAGCAGCUCCAUGGAUUUCAGAAAUUACUUGUCAAGGGAUGAGAGCCUAGAGCCUCUACCCAAGAACUGGGAGAUGGCCUACACAGAAACAGGCAUGGUCUACUUCAUAGAUCACAACACCAAGACAACCACUUGGCUUGAUCCUCGGCUCUGUAAGAAAGCCAAAGCUCCUGAAGACUGUGAGGAUGGAGAACUUCCUUAUGGCUGGGAGAAAAUAGAAGACCCUCAGUAUGGAACAUACUACGUCGAUCACAUUAACCAGAAAACCCAGUUUGAAAAUCCAGUAUUGGAAGCCAAGAGAAAAAAACAGCUAGGACAGACUGAUGUUGGCCCUUCAAAACCAGAACCAGAGAAGUCACUCUUCACCAGAGAUCCAGCCCAACUUACAGGAGCCCUUAUACGGACAUCAUUGAAGAAAAGCACUAUGGGAUUUGGUUUCACAAUCAUUGGUGGAGACAGACCUGAUGAGUUCCUCCAGGUGAAGAAUGUGCUGAAAGAUGGACCUGCUGCGCAGGAUGGGAAAAUUGCGCCAGGUGACGUCAUUGUAGACAUAAAUGGCAGCUGUGUCCUUGGCCAUACCCAUGCAGAUGUUGUUCAGAUGUUUCAGCUAGUUCCUGUCAACCAGUAUGUGAAUAUGACUUUGUGUCGCGGUUACCCGCUUCCUGAUGACAACGAAGAUCCUGCUGUAGACAUCGUUACAGCUACACCCAUCAUCAAUGGCCAGCCAAUGACCAAGGGAGAUAUCUGCAUAACCAGCCAAGAUUUAAUACCUGGAACAGUCAUUUUAGACCAAAAUGGGAAACCGGGUCACAUUUUGGUCAAUGGUCGCCUGAACAGCCCUUCUAUGGACCCAAAUGAACAGAGGAUCUCCGUAUCCUCUCCAGGAGGCUCCCAGCCAGAACUAAUCACUAUUCCUCUGGUCAAGGGCCCUAAAGGAUUUGGGUUUGCAAUCGCAGACAGCCCUACAGGGCAGAAAGUGAAGAUGAUUUUAGACAGCCAGUGGUGCCACGGCCUUCAGAAGGGAGAUGUAAUCCAAGAGAUUUACCAUCAGAACGUACAAAACUUGACACAUCUGCAGGUGGUGGAGGUGCUGAAGCAGUUUCCAGUGGGAGCCGAGGUCCCGCUGCUUAUCUUAAGGGGAGGUCCCCCCUCACCUGCUAAAACUGCCAAAGUGAAAGCAGAUAAGCAGGAGAAUUCAGGAAGCUUAGAGGCUAUUAGUGAUUCCAUUCCACAGCCUAUGCCAUUCCCACCUGCUGCUGUGAGGUCAGGUUCUCCAAAACUAGACCCUUCAGAAGUCUAUCUGAAGUCUAAGACAAUAUUUGAAGACAAGCCUCCAAACACAAAGGAUUUGGAUGUUUUCCUGCGAAAACAGGAGUCUGGGUUUGGCUUCCGCGUGCUCGGAGGGGAUGGACCAGACCAGUCAAUCUAUAUUGGGGCCAUCAUCCCACUGGGAGCAGCAGAGAAAGACGGCCGACUCCGAGCUGCUGAUGAGCUGAUGUGCAUUGACGGAAUCUCUAUCAAAGGGAAAUCACACAAACAGGUCCUGGACUUGAUGACCGGUGCUGCACGGAAUGGCCAGGUGCUGCUCACUGUCCGGAGGAAGAUCUUCUUUGGCGUUGAGAAACAGCCAGAAGAGGAGGAGUCGCAGCUGCCCAUUUCCACUCAAAAUGGAUCUCCCCGGCUGAACCAGGUAGAGGUCACAAGCAGACAGCCCCCAGAAGCCUAUGAUGUCCUGCUACAGCGGAAAGAGAAUGAAGGAUUUGGCUUUGUCAUCCUUACCUCAAAAAACAAACCUCCUCCUGGCGUGAUUCCCCACAAGAUCGGGCGUGUUAUUGAAGGGAGCCCAGCCGAUCAAUGUGGGAAGCUGAAAGUGGGAGACCGUAUCUCAGCCGUGAAUGGGCAGUCAAUCAUAGAGCUGUCCCAUGACAGUAUAGUGCAGCUGAUUAAAGAUGCAGGCCACGUGGUCACCCUGACUGUCGUUGCUGAGGAAGAGCACCGUGGCCCCCCUUCAGGAACCAACUCUGCCAAACAAAGUCCAGCCCCACAGCACAGACCUAUGGGAACAACACAAGCCAACUCUGCAACAGCAGACAGGGGAGUCACAGAAGAUGAAGCUGGAAGAGAACUUUCCAACAGUUACAGGCUUCCCUGGCCUGAGCACAAGCACUUGCCCCAGCCCGACGGCGGCGCUCUUUCCAUUGUAGGCAGCCGUCAUUCUCAGAGUCUUGGCUGUUCUCCAGUAGAACUGGAACGAGGCCCUCGGGGUUUUGGAUUCAGUCUUCGCGGAGGAAAGGAGUACAACAUGGGCUUAUUCAUCCUUCGACUUGCUGAGGAUGGGCCUGCCAUCAAGGAUGGAAGAAUUCACGUUGGUGACCAGAUUGUUGAAAUCAAUGGCGAACCUACCCAAGGUAUCACUCAUACACGAGCCAUUGAGCUGAUUCAAGCAGGAGGAAAUAAAGUUGUUCUUCUUCUGAGACCAGGGACUGGCUUGAUACCAGAUCAUGGUGAUCAAGAUAGUUUUAAUCCAUCAUCCUCAAAUAUAAUAUAUGAUGAACAGUCACCAUUACCCCCCUCUGCAGUAUGUGAUUUACCAGUACUGGAAGAAGCUUUAGCGAAUGUUCACGUAUCUGAGAAACUGGAAGAAGCUAAGAACACUGUGCCUGAAAAGAAAAGCACUUUAACUGAAAACCAGUCUGAGCUGAAGCAUCUGUCUUCUACCCAGAAGCAUAUGAAGAGAUGGGACCAGCCUACCAGUUUAGGGUAUAAGCGGUCAAAAAAUUUAGAAUUAGUAACUGAUGACCUCAUUAGGAGAGACCGAUCUGAGAGUCCAAAAAGAUUGGGCACAUGUGGGGAAUCGCAGCAAGCGGGGCUCCACAGUCCGAGGAAAGGUGAGAGACAAAACACACCCAGCAAUCUCUCAGACCAGUCUGAGCAUCCCAGGAGAGGUAAUACACACUCAGAAAUCAAUUUAAAAGAAACUUCCAGAGGAAGCCAAGGCAGAUCUGCCAGUCCCCAAAAGCAUCCCAAAAAGGAAGAAAGUGGGGACAAAUCAGACAAGUUACUAGAGACUCAAGAUAAAAUAGCUGGUGGUGGUGAUAUUGAGAUUAUUGAGCGGUUCAAAGAUGGAAAUGAAAAAUCAGGAGUAACACAGGAAGACACAAAGCAGAACAUUGCUGGAAAGAAUAAGAAGUGGUCUCAAGAGAGAAAAAACCCAAAAGCAGAUGAAAAGACUCUUCCAUUAAAUAAGGCCAAUGAGCCUAGGAGAAAAGUAGAUGAAGAUGAAAAAGUAAAGAAAGCCAGUGCUGGAGAGCCAAGUUCUAGCAACUUCAAAACUACAAGUCUUUCUGGUGCUUCACAGCUUUCCAAGGAAAAAAAAAGUAGGCUCGAAACACAAGAUCCAGUUAUUCUGAACAAAGACCACACAGAAAAAGACUUGGAGCCAACUGAUGAAACCAAAGAUGAUGGAAUUUCAAAAACUGAAUGCAGCUCUCCAGUCAAGAAAGCACCAAUAACUCCUGGACCUUGGAAGGUACCAAGAGCAAGUAAAGUCACAAAAGCAACAGGUGUCACUGAAAAACGGGUCUGACUGACAAACAUUUUUAGAACAUGUUUUAAUCAGGUUUCUAAUACGGUCAAUUAAACGCAUCUUUUUUCCACAAAGUUGUCAUUUUUCAGAAACUAACUCCAGAGGCUGGACAGUACAUUUGAUUUGUUCUUAAAAUUAACUAAGCUGCAUGAAGGACCUUUCGGAUUGCUUAUAAGCAACUCUCUUCCAUAAGCUGCUAUCCCCUCAUCCUUUUGAAGGCAGUGUCCUGCUGCUCUCUCAACAUUGCACUGCUAAGGCUUUCUCAGAUAGUAUUGUGAGUUUCUGAACAAACUUUCUUAAUGCCUGUAUUGCCAAUGUGAUCAUGACUCACUUCUUGUUCUUGUGCCAAGUUAUGUACUGUAGCCAAUCAAUUUCAUCCUCCUUGUACGUUUUUCCCAGACACAGCAAAGCCAAGAUUUUGUUUGAAAAUAGCUAUUUUCUCAAAGGCAUGUCGCAUGUUUAUAUAGGGGAAUAACUCGAGUUCUCACAACUUCAAUAAGAAGGUUUUCAAUGACUGAAAAUAAACAGUAAAAGGAGCUGGGCCAGUUCACAAAAGCAGAGGAAAAAAGGUAAGGAAAGUCAAGAUCAGUUGCUGGACCCUCGUGUUAAACUAAUGACUUGUCCAUUAAAAACAUAACUGAGCAGCUGCUAAGUCUCACUAAACUUAAAAAAAUCAGUUCUGACUUGAAGCUAGAAACUUUUGAAAUAGACAACUACUUAGCAGUAGGCUUAAAUGAACAGUUCUAAAAUAAAUAGAUUUUAAAGCACAUCUGAACUGCCCUCUGCUGCUUCACAUUUUAUGAAUCCAUCAGUUUGCUGUAGCAUAAAGUGUACAAAUCCUCAAUAUUGUAGAGUUUGACUGUGAAAAUAUUUCAGUUAGCCUAUGUAGAUAUUAAUCCUGUAUUCUUGGUUGAUAACCCUGUGGGAUCCUCUUUAAGAGUUGUAUGCACUUGUUCUAACCAUUGAGAAUAGUACCAAAUUCAGAAAUUUAAUACUAAGAUGAAUUAGCACCAUUUCAAUGGUUAACUGUCAGCAAGUACACAUCCAUCCAAAUGCUGUUUUCUGAUUGUUAACAUUGUGACCUGCUUUGGUGUCCUCUGUUUGAGUCUUUUCUAGAGAACUUGUACCUGUACUUACUGUAUAAGAUGACUUAGCAAUGUGGCCUUGGAAUGCUAAGCAACAUAUGGAUGUAAAUGUUUAUAUAUUGUACAGCACCUUUAUAUAUACACUUCUGAGGUUCUGACUAGAGAGACCUGUAAAUCGCUCAUUAUUUUUUAUAUAGAUAUAUUAAAAAAAUUCCCAUUCA
This is an RNA transcript of Terrapene triunguis (Three-toed box turtle), 5745 nucleotides long. It is a transcript of the gene named membrane associated guanylate kinase, WW and PDZ domain containing 3, with no coding region annotated. The transcript is spliced from 22 exons. The record is from RefSeq and is a predicted model, not a curated record. Lineage: Eukaryota; Metazoa; Chordata; Testudines; Emydidae.